RNAcentral lists this ribosomal RNA (324 nucleotides) under uncultured bacterium. RNAcentral describes it as "bacterial SSU rRNA". It matches the Rfam family "Bacterial small subunit ribosomal RNA", at positions 28 to 334 of the family's 1533-position model. The record is from RNAcentral.
GACGAACGCUGGCGGCGUGCUUAAUACAUGCAAGUCGAACGAAGCUGCAUAUAGGAAGCCUUCGGGUGGAAUAGAUGUAGACUUAGUGGCGGACGGGUGAGUAACGCGUGAGCAACCUGCCCAUAAGAGGGGGACAACAGUUGGAAACGACUGCUAAUACCGCAUAAGACCACGCUAUCGCAUGAUAGAGGGGUCAAAGAAAUAUCGCUUAUGGAUGGGCUCGCGUCCCAUUAGGUAGUUGGUGAGGUAACGGCCCACCAAGCCGACGAUGGGUAGCCGACCUGAGAGGGUGAUCGGCCACAUUGGAACUGAGACACGGUCCAA